RNAcentral lists this transfer RNA (73 nucleotides) under Bradyrhizobium sp. BR13661. Its description in RNAcentral is "tRNA-Glu". The record is from RNAcentral. Lineage: Bacteria; Pseudomonadati; Pseudomonadota; Alphaproteobacteria; Hyphomicrobiales; Nitrobacteraceae.
GGCGGACGUUGGCGAACGCUAACCCAAUCCUUUCACGGUGGAGAGAGCGGUUCGAUUCCGCUAGGGAGCGCCA